RNAcentral lists this long non-coding RNA (1431 nucleotides) under Pan troglodytes (chimpanzee). RNAcentral's name for it is "lincRNA". Lineage: Eukaryota; Metazoa; Chordata; Mammalia; Primates; Hominidae. The record is from RNAcentral.
CAGCACCCCUGCCUCAUUAACCAGAUGGCUGGGAUAAGACUCUUGGUUUUGAAAAUUCAACAACCAGAGUUCAGCUAUUUGCAGUGAUAUGCAGUCAUUUGUCACUAUCAAAAAGGAAAAUAACUAAAAUGUGGUGUGUUGGCAUUAGUUACUUACUAAUGAGCAAGAUCAGCACCUGCAUUUCAGCUUGGCUCUGUCAUUUUCUAUUUAUUGGAAGAAUGGUGUUGUGGUUAAGUGUGUGGUGUGUAGAGGAAGACUACUUGUUUUUUUGUCUUGUUUUGUUUUUAUUGAAAUAUAGCAUGCAUACUGAAAAAUGCACAAAUCAUAUGUGCAGAGCUCACUGAAUUUCACAGAAUGAAUACACCCAUGCAAUAGCACUCAGAUCAAGAGACAGAACAUUAGAAGCACCCCCAGAAGGACCACCCCCAGGAUCCCUUCCAGUAACCACAUCCCCUCCAGUAGAAACUAUUAUCCUUACUUCUAACAUCACAGAUUACUUUUGCUUGGUUUUGUAACUUAUAUAAAUGACAUCACACCAUAUCUACUCUUCGUGAUUAUUUUCACUCAACAUUAUGUUUGUGAUAUCCAUUCGUAUUGUUACAAUAGUUGUUGUUGGUUAACUCUCAUUGCUGUAUAGUAUUACAUUGUGUAAAUAUACCACAAUUUAUUUAUUCAAUACAUUCUACUAUUCAUGGUUAUUAGUUUGCAAUUAUUGGCAAUUAUGAAUAAUGCUGCUAUAACCAUUUCUUUAUAUUCUUUGUAGUGAACAUGCAUGUAUUUCUGUUGUUAUAUAUUUAGGAAUGAAACUGCUGGGUCAUUUUGUGUGCAUAUAUUCAAAUAUAAUAGUUGUUGCCAAACACUUUUUCAAAGUGGUUGUACCACUUUGCAUUUCCACCAGCAGUGUAUGAGUGUUCUAGUUGCUCUAAAUUCUCACCAACACUUGGCAUUUUGGUAUUUUUUAUUUUAGCCAAUGUGGUGAUCAUGUGGUGACCUCUCAUUAUGGUUUCCUUUUGCAUUUCUCUGAUGACUAAUGAAAUUGAGAAUCUUUUCAAUAUAUGUUGACUGGCCAUUGUACAUCUUCUUUUGUUUGUCUUUUAGAUGUCUUUUGUCAUUGAUUUGUAAGGGCUCUUUUGUAUUCUGGAUAUGAAUCUUUUGUCAAAUAUAUGCAUUGCAAAUAUAUACUUUUUUACUUAUUGAUAUCUUUAAUUUGUUUUAAGAAAAUUUUUAAUUUUUAUGGAAAUUUUAUAGAAAUGCUGAAAAUCAAACAUUAUCUGCAGUGGUAACAGUCUGACUUCUAAACUGCUAUAUGUAAUAGAAGAACGAUACAUAAUUGUUGUAUAUAUUUAUGAGGUACAUGUAAUAUUUUGAUACAAGCAUAAAAUAUGUAAUGAUUGUUGAUCUCUUUUAAUGAACAGAAUUCCUUAAUCGUAA